GACGAACGCUGGCGGCGUGCCUAAUACAUGCAAGUAGAACGCUGAGGUUUGGUGUUUACACUAGACUGAUGAGUUGCGAACGGGUGAGUAACGCGUAGGUAACCUGCCUCAUAGCGGGGGAUAACUAUUGGAAACGAUAGCUAAUACCGCAUAAGAGUAAUUAACACAUGUUGGUUAUUUAAAAGGAGCAAUUGCUUCACUGUGAGAUGGACCUGCGUUGUAUUAGCUAGUUGGUGAGGUAAAGGCUCACCAAGGCGACGAUACAUAGCCGACCUGAGAGGGUGAUCGGCCACACUGGGACUGAGACACGGCCCAGACUCCUACGGGAGGCAGCAGUAGGGAAUCUUCGGCAAUGGACGGAAGUCUAACCGAGCAACGCCGCGUGAGUGAAGAAGGUUUUCGGAUCGUAAAGCUCUGUUGUUAGAGAAGAACGUUGGUAGGAGUGGAAAAUCUACCAAGUGACGGUAACUAACCAGAAAGGGACGGCUAACUACGUGCCAGCAGCCGCGGUAAUACGUAGGUCCCGAGCGUUGUCCGGAUUUAUUGGGCGUAAAGCGAGCGCAGGCGGUUCUUUAAGUCUGAAGUUAAAGGCAGUGGCUUAACCAUUGUACGCUUUGGAAACUGGAGGACUUGAGUGCAGAAGGGGAGAGUGGAAUUCCAUGUGUAGCGGUGAAAUGCGUAGAUAUAUGGAGGAACACCGGUGGCGAAAGCGGCUCUCUGGUCUGUAACUGACGCUGAGGCUCGAAAGCGUGGGGAGCAAACAGG
Molecule: ribosomal RNA, 765 nt
Filed under: uncultured Streptococcus sp.
Lineage: Bacteria; Bacillati; Bacillota; Bacilli; Lactobacillales; Streptococcaceae
Description: bacterial SSU rRNA
Rfam family: Bacterial small subunit ribosomal RNA
Source: RNAcentral